RNAcentral lists this long non-coding RNA (3000 nucleotides) under Homo sapiens (human). RNAcentral's name for it is "HSALNT0001448". The record is from RNAcentral. Lineage: Eukaryota; Metazoa; Chordata; Mammalia; Primates; Hominidae.
CACCGUCUCUACAGCAACGCCUUAGCCAGAGGGUGCUCAGGUUUUCGGGACCGCGCGUGGCGCUCUCAGAUGACGUCACACACCCGCGGCGCUUGCGUGACGUAAGCCCUGCUCAGUAAGAAGGCUCCGCAGGUCGGCAGAGAACACCACCACUAAUGGGAAGACUGCCCCCUGACCGGCACAUGGCCUCAGCAUUCAUCCACAGAUGCUCCUCAAAUUGUUUUAAAAACAGCUUUUUUUAAAAGCUGUUUGUCUAUGAAGAUUAAAUGAGUUAAUAAUAUAAGCAAAGCACUUUGCAUGGCUACUGGGCACGGUGGUUCAUGCCUGUAAUUCCAGCACUUUGGGAGGCCGAAGCAGGUGGAUCACCUGAGGUCAGGAGUUCAAGACCAGCCUGAUCAACAUGGCGAAACCCUGUCUCUAUUAAAAAUACAAAAAAAAUAGCCGGGCAUGGUGGCACGUGCCUGUAAUCCCAGCUACUUGGGAGGCUAAGGCAGGAGAAUCGCUUGAACCUGGGAGGCAGAGGUUGCAGUGAGCCGAGACCUCGCCGUUGCACUCCAGCCUGGUUGACAGAGCAAGACUCUGUCUCAAAAAACAAAAAAACCCCAGCUUUUGUCCAGAGGUUGCUUUUUGUGGGUCUGUACGCUGAGGCCAAGUUCUAUGUAAGCAGAGCCCUCCCACCUCACCUCCAAACAAUGCCUCUAAACCAUCACAAUCUGAAAGGAAAAUAAAUCCCUUUCUUCAAUGGUGACCUGAAGCUAGCCAAGGACCGGGUGCUGGCAGGUGGCCUGCGAGACUGGGUCGGAUCCCGGGUUACUGUCUGAGGAGGGAUGCCGUGCUGUAAGGGUUGGGGAGCCAGUGUCUGGCUUCCUUGUCACCACAAGACCUGUGGUUUCCAGCUCUGUCUGCAUCCAGGUCCCACUAACCAACAGCAGGAGAGAAAACAGUUGUGCACACAGGCGGACGCGCACACGCGCACCUGGCCCCCCAGACGUGCACAGCCCUCAGAGGAAGUGGAGCACCAGAUGUUCUGGGUUUCCUGUUCGACGCUUCCACAGCUGGUCGAGUCUGUGGUUGUGGUUUGUCUGUCUCGGGCUCAUGUGAGAGACAAAAGCUGGGCUGACGGGAAACCUCUUCUCUCGGCCCCCACUCCCCAGCUCUGACUGAUUAGGAAACCUGGCAGGUCAGAAAUUUCCUGAAACACCCAGAGCUGGAUUCUCCCAAGAAGAAGCUGAACCCCCAACUCCCAUCCCUGAGGAGCAGCCCCUGGGCUGAUGAUCAGGACUUACAGAACCUGGGGCGAUGGAAACCUCUACAAAUAUCCCAUUUAGAAAGACCGCCAGCCCUGCCAACAGAAUGAAACGGAGGCCAGGUUGCUAUGGUCUCUACUCCAAUGCCUGACAUUGAGCCGCUGCUGCAAAACACUCAGCACAUGAAGGAAUGAAUGAGGAACAGAGAACUUCACCUUUGGGGGUUGGGUGUACAAGCCCCAACUGGGCCCCAAGUCCCAUAAAUAGCUUUGGAUUCCAACAUACAAGCAUUUGACGCAGCGAGGUGCUGCCGACUUGCUCUGUGACUUGGAGCAAGUCAUUUAGCCUCUCUGGGCCUGGUGUCCUCAUCUGCAGAAUGGAGAUGAUAAUAUCUACUUCACAAAGGUGUGAAGGCCCUGUGAGACACCGCAUGUGGAUUUCCUCGACAUUGUUUGCCCAUCGUAACUGCUCCAGAGAGGCUGGGCUCCCUUUUCUCGUUGCAACACUGCUGUUUAUUUCAGGAGAUACUCUAAAAGGGAAGCAAGCUAAAACAAAGAACAACCAAAAACACUGAUCCCGGGACAACUGCCCGGCAGGACAGCAGAGCAAGGGUACUUGGUGCUCUUCGUUGGGGGGAUGUUGGGAGAAGGGGCUGGAGCCAUCCCAGGGUCUCCAGGCUCUGGAAGGGAGCACCCCAUGUCCUCCUCUGGGUGUGGAAUAGGCAGGUCGGCAGGCAGUUGCAGUUCUCUUCCACAGACUCACUCAGGGACCCAGGCUGACGGAAGUUCCAUCAGCUGUAGCUGCACCAUCUGGGACACACGGCCUCCAUGGCUGCGGCAGCUGGGAAACAGACCCUGGAGAAGGGCGCACCAGCUUUUUACUGCCUCAGCCUGGAAAUGACACGUAUCACUUCUGCUCAAUUUCAUCGGCCAAAGCUAGCCAUAUGGCACAGCUGGGAAACCCAGGGGAGUCAACGGUCUGUGUAGUGAACAUUAUUGUUUCUGCCACAGAAAACUUCCAAGAGUAGGGAGAUGAGAGAGCUUGCGGUUCAGAUUUCCAGUUUGGGCACAAAGACGGAUGUCUCCUAGAGAGAAAGGGAUGGGAGAGUCCUCUGUGGAGUGGCUUCUGUUCCCUACAUCCCAGAGAGGCUCAGCUUUUCUGGCCGAUGGAGUGCAGUUUUAUUUGUUUGAGAAUAUGUUUUGUUUUCUUCCUUUUUCUCGUUCUUGCUUACCCUCAAAACAUGGGAAGAAAAGCUGUCUGACUCAAACAGCCAGCAGUCUGGUCCGGGCCCCCUAAGAUGGAGAGGCGCCAUUUCCCAGCAGGCCAAGAAAUGCCCCGGGAGCUCCAAGGGUUCUGUGGGUCCCGGGAUGAGAGGCUGACACAGCCAAGAAGACCCAGGGUGAGGCUGAGCGGAGGCUGAGGCGGCAUGCCUGGCCGCCCACACUGCCAUCCGUCCUAGCGCUCUGUGCAGAGCACGGCUGAAAACUCCCCAGGUAUCUUUGGAAAUGAAGAACACUGGGUUGGCACCCGGCAAUUUGGGACAGCAGCUUUUCUGGAGCGCACAGCUUGGGAAUAAGCCUGAAGAAAUCUUUCAUUCCUAGAGCGUUGGUGGAUAAAUGGUACUUAUUUGUUUAACCUCAAAUCAAGCCGCAGCCCCCAUUUCUGGGGCUGCUUUGCGAGGGUUGUUUUAAAAUAGCUGAACAAGCUGAAAAUCACGGGUCUAGGUUGCUGGAAUGGCUUUGCAGAGAGCAGC